GCUCUACAAAGAAGAGGCAAAAAAGUUCUAGGGUUUGCGUUGCUGGUAUCGAAAGUUUCAAAGAUGAUCGAGGUGGUGUUGAACGAUCGAUUGGGGAAGAAAGUGAAGGUGAAGUGCAACGAAGAUGAUACCAUUGGUGAUUUGAAGAAGCUGGUUGCUGCACAGACUGGUACACGCGCCGAUAAGAUUCGUAUUCAGAAGUGGUACAAUGUUUACAAAGAUCAUAUUACCCUAAAGGACUACGAAAUUCAUGAUGGGAUGGGCCUUGAGCUCUACUACAACUAGAAUAAACUAUAGAGUUAGAAGCAGAAGUUGCUAUCCUAUGACUUCUUGCGUCUCAAUCAGGUUUAUGGAAAAUACACUGGUGGACGUAUCUCAGCUGCCAUGUUUUAAAUAAAAGAUUGAUUGUUGGCUUGUAAUGUAAAGUUUGACAUGUUUAAUCAACUUGAGGAAAAUGCUCUCAACUCUGUGAAUGUCAUGUGUCUGGUUGGUAUUUUGCCUUGUGGUACAAGGGUUAACAUAUGCCAUAUGUGCUCUUAGAUUUUCUUAUCAAUUUUUUUUAAUUUUGCUGUGGAAAAAAUAGAGAUCGUGUCUUGAGCUUUAUUGUUCUUUAACAAUAUUGCUGGCUUACUUCUGAAGAGGUUUUGAACGA
This is an RNA transcript of Solanum tuberosum (potato), 652 nucleotides long. It is a transcript of the gene named ubiquitin-like protein 5, with no coding region annotated. The record is from RefSeq and is a predicted model, not a curated record. The transcript has 3 exons. Lineage: Eukaryota; Viridiplantae; Streptophyta; Magnoliopsida; Solanales; Solanaceae.